This is a non-coding RNA of Lacerta agilis (Sand lizard), 373 nucleotides long. Lineage: Eukaryota; Metazoa; Chordata; Lepidosauria; Squamata; Lacertidae. The record is from the annotation of a RefSeq genome assembly.
CCAGUCCGUAGAUUUCCUCAUAAUGGCCUGGGGCUUUCUCCUCUUCACAAUCCUGGCGUCCAUCAUUGGUCCCAGUGUCGAGCAGUUACAGACUUUGAAGGACCCAGAAUUUGUGGCUCCAGGUGGGACGGUCACCAUGUCUUGCAGGUUUGACAGUGGAAACAUCGGUGAUGGCAACUACCCUUUGUGGGUACAGAAGAAGCCUGAGAGUAAACCCUGGACACUUAUCCAUGACACCAGCGUCAGACCGUCUGACGUUCCAGCACGUUUCUCUGGUUCUAGAAUUGGGAAUGUGAUGUCCCUGACCAUCACAGGGGCCCUUCUGGAAGAUGAAGCUGUUUAUUACUGUGCUGUGUGGGCUGGGAGUCAGUGA